RNAcentral lists this non-coding RNA (39 nucleotides) under Trypanosoma brucei brucei. The record is from RNAcentral. Lineage: Eukaryota; Euglenozoa; Kinetoplastea; Trypanosomatida; Trypanosomatidae.
AUGACAUAGCUAUACCGAUAAUACAGUAAAGUGAGUAAA